Molecule: long non-coding RNA, 571 nt
Organism: Dalotia coriaria
Lineage: Eukaryota; Metazoa; Arthropoda; Insecta; Coleoptera; Staphylinidae
Exons: 2
Source: RefSeq, a predicted model, not a curated record
CCGCGAUAGAAGUACGUACCAGCGUGUACAUUCGGCAUGAUGAACGCGCUUUAAUUUAAUAAGAAAUUGCUAGUUUCGUGUCGUGGUGAUAAAGCCUGCAUGGAACGCAAGGAUGUAAUCAUCGUUGUGCUUGCAUUUAUGUUAAUAUCUAUCCAACAAGACGGUUGUAGUUGUUGAGUAUUAGAUAAUGUUGGUGGUCGUUGGCAAAUUAAGUAAGAAGAGCCGUGCAGACUAGAAAAAUUACUUACGAGUACAAAUAGAUAAAAAGAUGAAAUAGUGAAGUCAUCACCAUGUUUUACGUCUUAAUUAUGCGCAAUAAAGCUAUUUAUUGCCAAUGCGCUUUCAACCUGUACUCUCGCUUUCGUUGCUUCAUGUCUCAUCGAAGAAGAGGCGUUAAUAACAACAGUCUUACAAUCAAUAAUAAUGUGAAUUUGAGCAUUUUAAGGAUAGAUUGCUAUGGAUAUAAAAAGCUUGUAUAGUUUGUUGUUAUAGAGCAACGUGUAAUAAAUGAUGACAUUAUGAGAAUUAUUGUAAUAAUAUGGUAAUAAAUUUAUAAUUUUCUGUGGGCUUA